UCCGGCUUAACGCCGGCAGUCUCCUUAGAGUGCCACGGCUUUACCCGGGGGCAACUAGAGACAAGGGUUUCGCUCGUUAAGGGACUUAACCCGACAUCUCACGACACGAGCUGACGACAGCCAUGCAGCACCUGUGCACGUUUCACCCGAAGGCAGGCCCAUCCCUUUCAGGCGGACCAUCCGUGCAUGUCAAGACUAGGAUAAGGUUCUUCGCGUAGCCUCGAAUUAAGCCACAUCCUCCACCGCUUGUGUGAGCCCCCGUCAAUUCCUUUGAGUUUUAGCCUUGCGGCCGUACUCCCCAGGCGGGGCACUUAAUGCGUUAGCUUCGGCACGGAGGGAGUCGACACCCCCCACACCUAGUGCCCAUCGUUUACAGCGUGGACUAC
Molecule: unclassified non-coding RNA, 386 nt
Filed under: uncultured bacterium
Lineage: Bacteria
Description: contains 16S-23S intergenic spacer region
Source: RNAcentral